Acanthopagrus latus (yellowfin seabream) is the source of this 347-nucleotide long non-coding RNA. RefSeq lists it as uncharacterized. The transcript has 2 exons. NCBI's taxonomy places the organism in Eukaryota, Metazoa, Chordata, Actinopteri, Spariformes, Sparidae. The record is from RefSeq and is a predicted model, not a curated record.
AGGAAUUAAAAAAAGAGAGAGAGAGAGAGAAGAAGAAAAAACGUGGCGGCGAAGUUACGACGGGGCGCUCUGCGAAGCCUGCACCGACAUCUCGCUGCGGACUAAAAACAAACACCGUGCGAUGGGAUUGAACAUAAAGAAUCUCCACAGGGGCGCCCCAGUAGCUCAGCUGGUAGAGUCCACAACCCACAUACACAGGUCCUGCCCUGGCUUGAGUCCGACCCGUGGCCCGAUGCUGCACAUCAUCCCCACUCUCUCUCUCUUUCUCUCUCUCUCUCUCUCGCUUCAUGUUUUCAUCAUCACCUCACUGUCCAGCGAAAUAAAGCCAUGAAACAGCCCAAAAAUUA